This 288-nucleotide ribosomal RNA is filed under the name Acinetobacter baumannii OIFC083. Its description in RNAcentral is "partial 16S ribosomal RNA". It matches the Rfam family "Bacterial small subunit ribosomal RNA", at positions 97 to 388 of the family's 1533-position model. Lineage: Bacteria; Pseudomonadati; Pseudomonadota; Gammaproteobacteria; Moraxellales; Moraxellaceae. The record is from RNAcentral.
GGCGGACGGGUGAGUAAUGCUUAGGAAUCUGCCUAUUAGUGGGGGACAACAUCUCGAAAGGGAUGCUAAUACCGCAUACGUCCUACGGGAGAAAGCAGGGGAUCUUCGGACCUUGCGCUAAUAGAUGAGCCUAAGUCGGAUUAGCUAGUUGGUGGGGUAAAGGCCUACCAAGGCGACGAUCUGUAGCGGGUCUGAGAGGAUGAUCCGCCACACUGGGACUGAGACACGGCCCAGACUCCUACGGGAGGCAGCAGUGGGGAAUAUUGGACAAUGGGGGGAACCCUGAUC